This is a long non-coding RNA of Homo sapiens (human), 336 nucleotides long. The record is from Ensembl. Lineage: Eukaryota; Metazoa; Chordata; Mammalia; Primates; Hominidae.
GAAGAUCCGUGAGGUGCCCAGAAGAUCAUGCAGUCAUCAGUCCCACGGAGCAGCCUGCGAGGCUGAGGCUCCUCCCACUGGACCGCCCCCCAACUGGCACCACUGCUGCCCCUGCCCCUACUCUCAGCCUCACGUGACUCUCGGGCAGAAGCAGUGGUGGGGCAGCCAGGGCAGCGUCAAGAGUCUGAGCCAGCUGCAGGACAAGUUCGAGCAUCUUAAAAUGAUUCAACAGGAGGAGAUAAGGAAGCUCGAGGAAGAGAAAAAACAACUGGAAGGAGAAAUCAUAGAUUUUUAUAAAAUGAAAGCUGCCUCUGAAGCACUGCAGACUCAGCUGAG